UUCAGAGUUGGUGAACUCAAGGGGCUUCCAUAGCCUAGACAGCUCAUAGCAAGUUUCUCGGGUGAUUGCUGACAUCAUAAAUAAGAGUGCCAAUUGUUAAAUCAACAACGGGAGUCACUGGGUUCAUUCUCCCCACGUAGGAUCUCUGUCCUUAAUGUGUUUAACUAUGAAACUCAAAAACAACACUACUAGUUGAACAAUACCCUAUACCUGGUUCGGUUGUGAGUGCAGCCUGUUGAAAUCCCUGCUUAGUAUUUACUAAGUUGUUCUUCAGUAUAUGAAGUUUUCUUUGGCUUCUGAGUGGUGAAGACUGUAGAAGACAAAAGGAAACAUGGAGAAACCAGAUGAGCAUCUCUACGUGAAAUUCAGUUAUGUAGAAAACUACAGUUUCUUAUGUUUAUAAAGACCAAGAGCUACCAAAGAGAAAAACUGAAUAGAGAAACUACUGAACAAUAACAAGGAAUGUAAUAUAAUUCCCUGAAAGAUCAGGUGA
This is a non-coding RNA of Oryctolagus cuniculus (rabbit), 493 nucleotides long. Lineage: Eukaryota; Metazoa; Chordata; Mammalia; Lagomorpha; Leporidae. The record is from RefSeq and is a predicted model, not a curated record.